This 402-nucleotide long non-coding RNA is filed under the name Lathyrus oleraceus (garden pea). RNAcentral's name for it is "Pisum sativum (pea) long non-coding RNA (PSAT_LNC036620)". Lineage: Eukaryota; Viridiplantae; Streptophyta; Magnoliopsida; Fabales; Fabaceae. The record is from RNAcentral.
AAGAGAGUUUAGGUAAUCCAUUUACCACUCAUCUUUAAUGCUUCAACUUUCCCUAAGGUUCCUGAGAAAAACCUAUACUUCAUGAGGACAUUGAGAAACUCAAUGCUAAGAUUAAGGAGCUCGAAUUGGAGAAUACUGAGUUGCAAAUUAAGAUGAAUCGAACUGCUUUGGAAAAUCAAAAAUUGAAAGAUGGACGUAAGGGGAAAGCCAAGAAACUUGAAGACAGUAACAAGAGAGCCAGGUUAUUGGAAGACCAGAAGGACGAUAUUGAUCACAUCCUUAUAGGUUCUACAUCGGUAGUCCAGACCAGAAAGGAAGAGCUCAAGAAAGUUGAAUAUAGAAUUCAAAAGUUAGGAAGGAUGCUGGAUAGGUCUCUUGUGGAAAAUAAGGAAGUUAAGCCCG